Molecule: long non-coding RNA, 1391 nt
Organism: Argentina anserina (silverweed cinquefoil)
Lineage: Eukaryota; Viridiplantae; Streptophyta; Magnoliopsida; Rosales; Rosaceae
Exons: 4
Source: RefSeq, a predicted model, not a curated record
AUUGUCACUCGUUCUCUCUGUAAACCCGUGUCUCUCCCAAUUCGAACUCUCUGUCCAAUCUCUCUCCCUAAACACCCCGACGCCGACACCACCCAACUCGCUCCAAUCUCUCUCACCGCUCCAAUGCCUCCGAAGUUAGCCCGCCUUUGCCAACAACAAGCUCGGCGAGAAGCAGCCGCCUUAGAAGCGUCGUCUCCUCCGCCCUCCAACGCAGGCUCGCCCUCUCCUCUGCCGCUUCCCUCGCUUUGUAACACCACCACCGCUCAAUAUCUCUCUCCUCCGCCGCCGGCCAGCUCUGCCACGGCCGGCGGCGACGCCCCCGCUGCAGCCCAACUGAGCAUUCGGUGCAAGAACCGAAGUGGUCAAGGGAAAAUUGAAGAGGAAGCUUGAUGAGAUGAUACAAGCACGAGGUGAGGCAGACUUGGGGAAUGUAGAGCCAAUCCCGGAUGAUGAUUAAUUUGAUCUACUCAAAGAGUGCUUAGGAGAGCGAAAAGGCACAUAAAUUAGAGGCGUGGGAGGAGCUGUUAAACGGGCUACAAAGACACGAGGAGGACCACAAACUGUCUUUAACGCUUAAGAAGUUGAGGAGAGAAAUCAGCAGUUAGAGGAGAGAGCCCGGCAAGCCGAGGAGAGCGCGCAGAGGGCUAAGGAGGCAACUGCCCAAGCUGAAGAGCAAGUUCGAAAGUCAAUGGAGGAAAAUCAGGCCAUGAAAGAUGAAAAUCAAGCCAUCAAGGAGCGUCUUAAAGCGAUGGAGGUAAUGCUACAAAGUGUGCUAGCUGCACAAGCAUGUAGUACUUGAGGUAGCACACUAGCACUAGUAGUAUGGUAAUGAUGAUGAUGAUGCUGCUUUGAAUGAAAGUGAGGUGUAGCAAGUGAUAGGGGUUCUGUACCCAUUUUUUCUCAGUUAAACCAAAUGAAGUGACAGAAACAUAGAAUCUCGUCGCUUCAAUAGUAACAAGGAACAACCCAAAAUUAAAUUAAGGCGUCGCUUCAAUAUAUAUUUCGUCGGUUCAAUAUAGGAGACAGAACAAAAGUCGUCACUUGAGCACACUGGCCCGUCGCUUCAAUAUAUAUUUCGUCGCUUCAAUAUAGGAGACGGAACAAAAGUUGUCACUUGAGCACACUGGCCAGUCGCUUCAACCCUCAGGGGACGAAACCAAAGCCGUCGGUUGAAUGUAAAUUGAAGCGACGACUUUUGAACUAUUGGUCGCCUCAUGACUGAGGGGACGGUAACGACGCGACCACUUUCAAGCGACGACAUUCUUGUCGCCUGAGACUUGAAGCGACCAUUUGGUGCUGCAGGCGACCAUUUGCUUCCGUUGCCUGAGUGUUUGGCUGGCGUAGUGAUAUAGUUAUUUGUUAUGUUCAUGAUGUUAUACUUCAAAGGAUUA